RNAcentral lists this transfer RNA (73 nucleotides) under Ailuropoda melanoleuca (giant panda). It matches the Rfam family "tRNA". Rfam says of the family: Transfer RNA (tRNA) molecules are approximately 80 nucleotides in length. Their secondary structure includes four short double-helical elements and three loops (D, anti-codon, and T loops). The record is from Rfam by way of RNAcentral. Lineage: Eukaryota; Metazoa; Chordata; Mammalia; Carnivora; Ursidae.
GCCUGGGUGGCUCAGUAGGUUGAGCACCUGACUCGUGAUUUUGGGGUCAUGAGAUCGAGCCUCUUUUCGAGCU